UACAGAGGUGCCAAGCGUUGUUCGGAUUUAUUGGGCGUAAAGGGUGCGUAGGCGGUCGGGUAAGUCUGAUGUGAAAUCUCACAGCUUAACUGUGAAACUGCAUUGGAUACUAUUCGGCUUGAGAGUUGGAGGGGGGACUGGAAUUCUUGGUGUAGCAGUGAAAUGCGUAGAUAUCAAGAGGAACACCAGUGGCGAAGGCGAGUCCCUGGACAACUUCUGACGCUGAGGCACGAAAGCUAGGGGAGCAAACAGG
RNAcentral lists this ribosomal RNA (253 nucleotides) under uncultured bacterium. RNAcentral's name for it is "partial 16S ribosomal RNA". It matches the Rfam family "Bacterial small subunit ribosomal RNA", at positions 524 to 776 of the family's 1533-position model. The record is from RNAcentral.